AUGUACAUUCCUAUAGCAUAUCAUUAAUGCACUAGAUCCCAUUAGAACUCCGCAGUUAAGCGUGUUGAGGAUAGAGUAGUACUAGGAUGGGUGAUCACUCGAGAAGUCUUGGUGUUUUACAUG
Non-coding RNA from Picea glauca (white spruce), 123 nucleotides. NCBI's taxonomy places the organism in Eukaryota, Viridiplantae, Streptophyta, Pinopsida, Pinales, Pinaceae. The record is from Rfam.